Molecule: long non-coding RNA, 2011 nt
Filed under: Capsicum annuum
Lineage: Eukaryota; Viridiplantae; Streptophyta; Magnoliopsida; Solanales; Solanaceae
Description: long non-coding RNA (CANN_LNC004380)
Source: RNAcentral
UUCCAUACUUCCAGUGACUGAGUUACUUCCAGAAAAUAAAAUAAAAAGAUAAGCUUUUGUUGAAUUUGGUCGUACUAAUGAUGGUUCCUGCAAAAGAAUGCAAGAUCAAAAGACCUCCACCUUAUCGAUCUUUCUUUGUGUUCCAAACUUCCAGUGACUGAACUACUUCAGAAAAUAAAAUAAAGAUGAAUGGAAAUGGCUUGUGGAUAAUCAUUGUAUUGCAUCCAAAUACAGAUAUUCAAAUAAGGUAGAUAUACCCCAGUAUGGGUUAGCAACAGGACUUCUAAAAAGACACAUAGGAAUACCAGAUCACGAGAGUACAGUAAUAGUCCUUGGAGAAUUAAUGAGAAUCCAGUAGAAAGGAAAUACCUACAAUGAUCAUAGUAUUACUCUAGAAGUUUUUGUUAUUCCAUUUCUGUUACUAUUUAAUGUUUCUUGGAAUUCGAUUAUCAUAUUACUUUGUUGUAGUGACUGUUCUUUUUAUGCUUUAUCAUGCGUUCUUUCACAUUUUGUCUUGGCUUCUCCACUCCCGUCAUUUUCGUUUUUCGAACUUCUUUGUAGUGCUUUUACUUGAGCCGAGGUUCUAUCAGAAACAAUCUCUUUACCUCCCAAGUUAAGGUCUGCCUGCGUACACACUACCCUCCCAGACUUGCUUGUAGGAUAACACUAGGUAUGUUAUUGUUGUUGCACUAGUAGUAGAAAGGAAAUAUGCAAGAAGUGCAAGCAUAAACUGGCAGGGCUAUUCUGCAAGUGAGUAACAGAUGAAAGACACACCUCAGUUACGAGAACUGCAACAACAGAGCACAGUACAAUGUGUACCUAAACAAUCAUCAGAGUAGGAGAAGCCCAACUUAAACGUUCCAGAUUCCUCAUCAUAUUUUUCAUCUAGUUGACUUGGAUGUGUAUUACAAGCCAAUCCUCACAAGAUUUUGAGAACUUUCAUGUUAAGUAUUCACCAGAAUUUGCAUCGGACAUGGAAACACCACAUAUACUGACAAAUCUCAGAAUUAUAGUAAUAGAGCUUCCCAUCCGAGUCUGAUCCAAGCUUCUGGUCUUAGCAAGUGUAGCAACCUCACAUAUGCAGACAAGUCUUGGAUUUCUAGACUCUAGUAAUAGAGUUCCGUUCAAAGUCAGAUCCACUAAAUUCUCAAGCUUCUGCUCUUAGCAAGUGCACUUUUGAGCUAAAAGAUUUGAGACAAACCCCGGGAAGAUAUAUGAAUCAGUUUCGCCUAGACAUUCAACAAACAUAAUAUCGACAUAGAGAUAAAAGCCUCCACACUCCAUCGACAUCUAAUUUCGAAAUUCUUAGAUAAAAUUAGGUCGCCAGAUUAGUUUGAGUGUGAAGUUGGCUUUUCAGGACAACUUGAGAGUGCAUUUGAUGUCUUUUCUCAAACUAAUAUUGCCCUCAAAGGGUACAAAAACAGAGUAAACAAAAAUAAAGUAAAUUAUGAACGGUUAUCAUACCUGUUAAUUGAUGGAGUCAUCCGAAUCAAAAUCAACUCGAAUACAAUCCAUAGCAAAUAGCAAUUAUUAAUCAUGAAAUUUAGAUAUAAACGGAUUCAAUUAAAACAUUUAAUGAUAAUCACAAGGACCAAUAUUAAGUUCUAAAAGUGUUCUGAAUUGUAAGAAAUAUAUAAAUCAACGGAGAAAAAAAAAAAGAAAUAUACAAAUCUGUUGCUACAAUGCAAGUAAAUGGUGCAGGAGAAUAAAUCUUAGUUCACAAGAGUUAUCCAACACACCUUACUCGAUUAACCUGAAAAUGAUUGUAAUGCAUUUAACAAAUUUUAUUGGAUUGAAGAAUUUUACUAAUCUAAUUGGCUAAUUACUUGAAUGUUCAUCUCCUUGGUGAGUGCUCAGUUCUCCACUUCGAAAUUUUCUUCCCAUUUUCCUUAUUGCAAUGAAAUAUGAAUUUGCAAAUUAUUAGCAGCAACUUACUUUAGUACAUUUAAUGUGAAUACGAGGGUGUAUUUGAAAAAGUCUUUCCAUCUCACGAUUAGGGUUUAUUUGAAAA